CAGGUCUUCAGCACCAGCUCUGGCGGUGCCUCCCACAUCCAUGGGCUGUGGCAGCACCAGCAUCCCCAACAGCCGUCCGACUCCCCGCCGGGUCUGGAAGGGGAGCAACGGCUCGAUAGGGAGCCCUUGGCCCCAUAUUGCAGCUCCCGGGACAAGUGAUCCUCGUGUCACUCCUUGCUCUUGCCCCAUCAAGAUGGAUCCAGGUAAGCACCGUGGCUGGGGGGCUGGGGGGUGAAAGAAGGAAGAGAGAGGGAGGAAAGAGGUGAAGUCAGGAUGAUCAGUAAGCCGUAUCUACUGCACACCAAAAACAUGGUUGUGUGUGUUUGUGUAAAGGUAGUGGCAGGGUCCGCAAUGACAACAAGCCCUUACAACAUGUUACAGUUGGGGAAAUGUACUUCUCCAUCCUUCAUUUCACUCAAUAUUCAACCUGAGGAGUAACACAUUAAAGUGCAGGUCCCACUGUACACACGGGGCCCUGGAGAGCUAGAGGUACAUUCAGGGUAAGGCCAUGGAGAUGGGGCUGGGAUGGAGCCCAGAACCCACCUCUCAGCAGCUGUGCCGUUGGCUCCCCUCAAAAGGAACAAAAGACCAUUCUGGUCUUUAAGAAAUAGCAGGCCGGAAGCCAUGGCUCAGGCCUAUAAUCCUAGGACUCCUGGGGGCUGAGGCUGGUGGAUUGCUCAAGGUCAGGAGUUCCAAACAAGCCUGAGCAAAAGCAAGAACCCAUCUCUACUAAAAAUAGAAAGAAAUUAAUUGGCCAACUAAAAAACAUAUAGAAAAAAUUAGCCGGGCAUUGUGGCACAUGCCUGUAGUCCCAGCUACUCGGGAGGCUGAGGCAGUAGGAACUCUUAAGCCCAGGAGAUUGAAGUUGCUGGAGCUAGGCUGACGACACAGCAAUCUAGCCUGGGCAACAGAGUGAGACUCUGUCUCAGAAAAAAAAAAAAAAAAACCAGCAGGCAAUUCCCACCAAGGGAGCAUUUACAAACACCCAGGACCACUCAGCUAGGCUGCUGCAGAGUGAGCCCACUGCACCCACAGCUGGGCAGGCUGAUGGCCCAGUCCACGUGGAUUUCCUGUAGGAAGGCACCACAGAGUUGAGCCUGAGAGAUUUCCCUGUGGCAAGAGGCAUCUGCAAAGGCCAGGCUCUGAGACCAGAAGGUCACAAGCAGGAGCCAAGAAACAGCUGAGAGACUGAGCAGAGACAAGGCCUGAGAUAAGGAAGACCUGAGGAAGGUGGGGCAGAUGGGGAGGUUGGGGUGGCAGUGGCCUGGAAGUGGAAGAGAACAAUCAGGGUUUGCCCCUGCAAAGGGCCAGACUCAGUAUCAUGGAUUUGGCUGAAGUUGGAAGAACACAGAACUGACAGAGUGGGGACAAGAACCCACAUGUCCUAACUGGCCCCACUGCACCCAGGGAAACCCAGCCAUCUCUCAGAGGAACACAGAGAUGAACCUUGACUUUCAGUACAUGCCUGUUGUUGAGUGAAUGAAUGUAGGAAUAGUUGUUGGCACAGGGAUUGGGGCACAAGAUCAGCGCUAGGGAGAAGACAAGGUUUUCACUGCAGAACAAAAUGACCAAUGCUGAUUCUUUUUUCCCCUUCCUCUCCCACAGGUCCGAAGGUAGGAAUCUUCCCCAACCCUCUCCCCUUUUUCCAUCCCAUUGUCAUUUCCUCCAGACAUCCAGCAUCCUUCCCACACCCUCGGGGAGCAGCC
RNAcentral lists this long non-coding RNA (1706 nucleotides) under Microcebus murinus (gray mouse lemur). Its description in RNAcentral is "lncRNA (ENSMICG00000048751.1)". The record is from RNAcentral. Lineage: Eukaryota; Metazoa; Chordata; Mammalia; Primates; Cheirogaleidae.